This 489-nucleotide ribosomal RNA is filed under the name Triticum aestivum (bread wheat). RNAcentral describes it as "partial small subunit ribosomal RNA". The record is from RNAcentral. Lineage: Eukaryota; Viridiplantae; Streptophyta; Magnoliopsida; Poales; Poaceae.
AUGAUAUGCUUCUUCGCAGUCGAGUGGCACUUUGUAGACCGUGUGGCAAGACAAUUUGGAAAAAGACAAGGUAUUCCAAUUGAGGAGAGCAAGGAGGAAAUGCUAUCUCUGCAUCGGUUCGAUCGAAGGAACAAUCAGGAUAUAUCGGAUUGGGCAAACAAACACCGUGCGUGGAUAGAAAUUUGGAAUCAAAGAGACACGUUAGUGCAAUCAGAGAAUAGACCUCAGAAUCAGUCAGCAUAUCAGAAGUAUCAAGUGUGGUAUGCGGAUCGUUACCGGUUAAAGCUGAAGCCAGGUUGGACUCACGAGGAGUGGUCGGAGUUGGUGUCUGAAGACCCGGAGACUGCAGAAGGUUAUCAUACCUUCAACACGGCUGUGAGAGACACCAGAGGGGCUCAUGUUGACUACGCACCGAUGCAUGACGAAAUGGUAGUCUGUUUGACCUAUUCUAACAUACUUGCAUCAUGUUGUCUUCUUUCAAAUACAUAA